GUAGGUGAACCUGCGGAGGGAUCAUUACACAAAUAUGAAGGCGAGCUGGAUCCCCCUCAGCCGUGCGUUGCUGUACGGCGUGCGCGGCUGGGGCCAGCGUUGCUGAAUUAUUCACCCGUGUCUUUUGCGUACUUCUUGUUUCCUGGGUGGGUUCGCCCACCACCAGGACCAACCACCAAACCUUUUGUAAAUGCAAUCCGCGUCAGUAACCAACAUAAUAAUUACAACUUUCAACAACGGAUCUCUUGGUUCUG
RNAcentral lists this unclassified non-coding RNA (254 nucleotides) under rhizosphere metagenome. Its description in RNAcentral is "partial ribosomal RNA internal transcribed spacer region". The record is from RNAcentral.